AACACUGUUAACCUGCGGUACCUGCGGAGGGAUCAUUACAAGUGACCCCGGUUUACCACCGGGAUGUUCAUAACCCUUUGUUGUCCGACUCUGUUGCCUCCGGGGCGACCCUGCCUUCGGGCGGGGGCUCCGGGUGGACACUUCAAACUCUUGCGUAACUUUGCAGUCUGAGUAAACUUAAUUAAUAAAUUAAAACUUUCAACAACGGAUCU
Molecule: unclassified non-coding RNA, 212 nt
Filed under: soil metagenome
Description: partial contains 5.8S ribosomal RNA, internal transcribed spacer 2, and large subunit ribosomal RNA
Source: RNAcentral